This 8864-nucleotide long non-coding RNA is filed under the name Sus scrofa (pig). RNAcentral's name for it is "lncRNA (ENSSSCG00050034034.1)". The record is from RNAcentral. Lineage: Eukaryota; Metazoa; Chordata; Mammalia; Artiodactyla; Suidae.
AGGAAGCUGAAAAAAGAAGUUGAAGCCAUAGAGAGAGAGAUUUUGAAUACUGAAGUAAGGAUUUAACUAUUUAAACAAUGAGGAGUAACACAAAGUUUUAGAGAACUUAAAACUUUUAAUUAAAAAAAAAUUUAGGAAGUAAAAUCCUUAAACGUAUACUUUAAGGAAUUUGACCUGGCAGUUGUGCCUAUUAACUGUAGCAGUCAGAGAAGAGGUGAAGGUAAAGAGAUGAAGGUCCUCCAUAGUUAGUGGCUAUUCCAAUACAUGACCUUCAAUGUCCCUCACAUUUUUCUAAGUAUGUAUUGUAGAAGAACUCGUAACUGCUGAUGUCAUGUGCUACUAAUAGAAUUGAAUGAUAAGUAUUUGUAAGGACUUCUUAUGUGCCCAGUUGUAUGUUGACCUCUAUAAGGGGUACAAAAGAAGUCAAAGACUUGGCAUUUUUCAUGGAAUUUAGUUUUGUAAGUGAGUAGGGACCCUAAUAACUUGGAUCAAGUAAAACCAAAUUGGUAUUUACUGUAAAUGAAAUUUGGAGCUAAAAGAUGGAAGGUGACCUUGAGUACCUGAAGGUGAUGUCAUGGAAGUGUUAGCACUUAAAGUGGUUUGAAAGAUGGAUGAAAUUUACACAAAUGGUGGCAACAAACUGAAUCAAUAUAAAGAAGAUUCCUUGGCAGGAAGACUUGCAGGGACAAUGAGAAGCUUGGUUUACAUGAAAUUAAGAGCUGGUAUUAGCAGGUUAAUAAGAAAUAGAUGAGGUGGGGAAUUUAAGACCCAAUCAUAAGGAGUCUUGAGAGAGGUACCAAGUGAUUUGAGAUAAGAAAUAAUAAGGGAAUUCCCGUCAUGGCUCAGCAUAAACAAAUCUGACUACUAUCCAUGAAGAUGCAGGUUCGAUCCCUGGCGUCGAUUAUUGGGUUAAGAAUCCAGCAUUGCCUCAAGCUGUGGUAUAGGUCACAGACUCAGCUCGGAUCCUGCAUGGCUGUGGCAUAGGCCAGCAGCUGUAGCUCUGAUUCGACCCCUAGCCUGGGAACCUCCAUAUGUCGGGGGUGUGGCCCUAAAAAGACAAAAUAAAAGGAAUAAUAAGAUACAGAAGGCUCAUUAACAAGGAUUGUAUUAUUAAAAGGUAUCUCAGGAAAUUUAGUCUGACAGCAGUCAGAGAGUAGAGAAUUGAGAGUAGAAGAAAUUGGAGAUGAAAAAGAGUCCAAGGUACUGUUACAGGAAACAAGUAUGAGGGCUUGGAUCGCAAAACUGCUGACUGUAGGGACGGAGAGAGAGAACAAAACUGAAAGAAAGAUUUUGAUUUAAGAAAGAAAAAGAAAUUGGUACCAAAUUGCCAGAAGCUGGAAAAGGAAGACUCACAGAUUAAUCCAUACAGAAUGAUUGGGGAAAUUGGAAGCACAUAUUUUGGCAAAUGAAAACUGGAAUGAGGCUGACACAAAAUUGAGAUAUUCAGGCUAAAGACUAAUAAGGUGUAUUAUUUCUCAAAGUCCAGACACAACCUUAAAUUCUGGUUUUAUUUAGUUUUAAGCUACAUAACUUUUGCAAAUCAAUCUAGUUUUCCCUUCUGGAAAAGAGAAAAAAAUAAAAUUAGUAGCUGUUUCAUUGAGUAUAUAUUAUAUGCUAGGCAGUAUAUUAGGCUUUUUUAAAAUAUGGUUUUAUUACUAAAAACUACCUCAGCAUCCCUAGAAGGUAGGUACUGUUGUCAUCUUCAUUGUAUAGAUCAGUAAUCUGAGGCUCCAAGAGUUUACCUGACCUAAGAUCGGAUAGCUAGAAACAGACAGCCUUGGUUCAAAUCCUGCAUAAGAUCACAGAGGUAGAAUUUGAACCAAGGACCAUCUGUUUCCAAAGCUACUGCUUUUAGUCAAUUAUGCAAUGUUGCUUUCACUGUGCCUCCCAACAAUAUGCGCUUUAUUACACUUACAGUUAAGCUGUGUAUUUACUAAGUGCUUACUAAGUACCAUACUCUGUGCUAAGUACUUUUUAUGCAUGAUUUUAUGUAACCCUCUAACAAUUCUAUGAGGUUGCUACUAUUAAUAUGUACAUUUUGCAGAUGAGAAAUAAGAGGGUGAGUUACUUUUCUAACGUCACAGAGCUGGGAAGUUGCAGAACUGGAAUUUAUUCUUUAAGUCUAUCUGAUUUCAGAACCUAUACUCUUUUUUUAUUCUUAAAAGUCAUUUUGAAGAUUAAAUAAUUUUAUCCUUUUCUUAACUUUAAGGCAUAAAACAAAUUGUCUUAACAAUGAUGUUGUUAAUAUGCACAGCAGCAGAAUAACAUAAAAAUGAUGGUUAAAGCCAUGGAGUAUAUAAGCUAUCUGAAGGAAUAAAUUUGUAGAGAAAAAUAUAUUAGAGAAAAUCAUGAAGGAUAUUUAUAAUUUAGGAGCAGUAGGAGGGAAAGGAGUCAGAGAAGCCUAACAAUAGCUUAGAAAAUGCAGUAACCUGAAUCCUAAGGAAAAUAAUCACAAAAAUUUGAAACAUACAUGGUAUCAUAUGCCACAUAAAAUUUGAAAAAAGAAAGGUCAUUAGACUCUGACCUAGCAGAUUGCUGCUUAUACUGAGAUACUAGUAAACACAACCAGCAUCCAUCCAGUUUCCCAAUGCAUGAAUUUUUCUUAAUUUUUUAAACUUUCCUCAUUUUUCCAUUCAAUCACUUAUUUCAGCCUCCUAAAAUAUCUCUCAAAAUAUCUACCCUCUCUUCUCCAUACUCACUACUGCUUCCACAGUCCAGGAAAUCUUUACCUCCUGCCUAGAUUCUUCCAGCACCUUCUCAGUUCUUUCUGCUUUAUGACUUACCCCUUCCAGCCCAUUCUCCAUUGUGCAGCCAGCAUGAUGUUUCUACAAGACAAAUGAGAUCAGAUCAGCUUUCUGUUUAAAACAUCCCCAUGGGUUCUCAUUAACCUUAGGAUAAUAACUUAGUAUGACUAUGAAGCCCCAUAACAUCUGUCUUCUUUCUAGUUUUCCAGCCUUAUUUCUCCACUAUUAUUCAUCUAACUAAGCUUCAGCUAUGCCAAACUUACUUUGAGUACCUAUCACAUGCUCUGGGACUUAACACAUGCUAUUCCUUUUGGAACAGUUUUUUCUUCUCUCCUGCCUCCUUACUCCCCACCCCCCCAGACUUUCCUGGUUAACUGCUGCUUUAGGCCCCCUGCUUUACACUCAAACAGCAUCUCAUGCAUCCAUCAAAACAAUCAAUACCCUUUGUUAUAACUGCUUGUUUAACAUGCUGUUUGUACCUCAAGAUAUUAAAGUGUUUUAUGCAGAAUUUAUGUCUGCUCCUGUUGUUAUCCCCAGCACUUAAAACAAUGCCAAACCUAUAGUUUGAAUUAUACGUAUAUAGUAUACUCAUAGUAGAAUUCAAUAAAUACUUAUUUAAUAAGUGUUAUGAAUGAAUAGAUGCAGCAAGAAAUUAUUCUGUAUGUUAAAUAUAUUUAUAAAAUGAAAUUGUGAUAAGCUUUAUAAACCUCAUGUUUUUCUCUAGGUGGUAGGAGGUGUGAGGGAAGGGUAAUUUCACUUCUUUUUCCAAUUUUAAGAUGAGUAACAGCACAUGAGGCAGAUUUAAAAGAAGAAAAAUCAUGAUUUAAUAAUAAAUUCUCAUAAUUAUGGUAAUUAGUCUUUUAAAGGGAUUAAAAAUUAAACAGGGAAAUCCUGUGCCUGUAAUCUUUCAGUUCAAUAAUCAGUAACUGAAUUCCAAUGAUUAGGAAUAUUUAUCUAUAUGAAGAAGUGUGCCAGAAAAAAAUAGAAGCAUAUAAGUAAUUUCCUUUUCAUUUACUAGGAAUUCACUUUUUAAAUGCUCAGACUCCAAGGCAUUCUUAACCCAAGUCAGCCAUGUCUAUUCAAAAUGUAUUUAUUUAUUUAUUUUUCAUAUGUUGAGGGCUUGUCCUUUUUAUUUUUGUGGAAUUCCUAGUCAGUUGUUUCCUGUUUUUCAACUAGUUGUUGAUCUUUUUCCUUUUUAAUAGGAGUUUUUUUUUUUUUUACCAUUAAAUAUUUAUAUAGCAUAAUAAAAAGAAUAACUUAACUGGUAAGAAUAACAAAAAUAAUAUACCCUAUGAAAAUAAGUAAAAUAUAAAAUGCAUAAAUUGGUUAAAAAACAGUGUAACUGUAUAAAUAUGUCCUCACAAUUUGUUACAUCUUAUUGAUUCUUCAGUAUAGGCAUUACACCAUUCUAGGUGAUGUGAUAAACAAGACAUUAUAGACCUUACAUUGUACCAUGGAGACAAAUGGUUAUUGAUAAUACAGUUGUAGAACUGUAUUAUUUAAUUGUACAGUUGCAUUAUUUAAUUAUAAUUAUAAAUUCUUUGAUGGAGAGGAAAUCAGAAUCAGAUCUAAGAAGACUUCAGCAUUCCAAGAAUGAUGUCAAAUGACCCCCUUCAUGGUGGAUUAUGCACUUAUUUACUAUGAGAUAUAUUUCUUCUCCAGAGAUUCCUUGUUUGUGUAUCAAUUGUAGAUUUUUGGUUUCCAGUUAUUCUGAAGUUUUGAUAUACAAGUCUACAUGUAUAUGAAAUUGUUUUAAGUUGUUGGUCUCUUAAUUGCAAAUUCAUCUCCAGUAUCCUGCAUUUGUACCCACCUCUUCUCAUGAUUUAUGAUUUUGGUGGUAUAAUUGUACAUGGAUGAUUACAUAGCUUUACUGGUGAGCCUUGUCAUUUGUGGAAUUUUUGUUUCCUGUUGCGGGCUUUUUUUUUCUACCUAGAGUAGUUUCUUUAGUAUUUGUUGUAAGGCUGGUUUAGUGUUGCUGAAUUCUCUCAACUUUUGCUUAUCUGUGAAGGUUUUGAUUUCUCCUUCAAAUCUGAAUGAGAGCCUUGCUGGGCAGAGUAAUCUUGGUUGGAGGUUUUUUCCUUUCAUCACAUUAAAUAUAUCAUGCCACUCCCUUCUGGCCUGCAGAGUUUCUGCUGAAAAAUCUGCUGAUAACCUUAUUGGGGUUCCCUUGUAUGUUACUUGUUUCUUUUCCCUAGCUGCUUUCAAGAUUUUCGUUGUCUUUAAUUUUGGUUAGGUUGAUUAAUAUGUGUCUCGGUGUAUUCCUCCUUGGGUUUAUUUUAUAUGGUACUCGUUGUGCUUCCUGGAUUUGAGUGAAUGGUUCCUUUCCCAUGUGAGGGAAGUUUUCGGCUAUUAUCUCUUGGAAUAUUUUUUCUGUCCCCUUCUCUCUCUCUUCUCCUUCUGGCACCCCUAUAAUACGGAUGUUGGUGCUGGUGCGUUUCACGUUGUCCCAGAGUUCUCUGAGACUCUCUUCAUUUGUUUUCAAUCUUUUUUCUCUUUUCUGUUCUGCAUCCGUAAUUUCCACUAAUCUGUCCUCCACCUCACUUAUUCAUUCUUCUGCCUCCUGUAUUCUGCUGUUAGCUGCUUCUAGUGAAUUUUUUAUUUAAGUUAUUGUAUUUUGUAUCUCUUCUUAUUUAAGUUUUAUAUCUUAUAUCUCUUUGGUCACUGUUUCCUGUAAGUUAUCCAUCUUUGCCUCCAGUUUAUUUCCAAUGUCUUACAUCCUCUUUAGCAUCAACAAUCUAGUCUUUUUCCUGGAUGCUGAGAAUCUCCUCCUUGCUUAGCUGUUUUUCUGGGGUUUUUCCUUUCCCCCUCAUCUGACUUAUAGUUCUCUGUCUUUUCAUUUUUAUAGGUUUUUGGUGUGGUGGCCUUUUUACAGAUAAUAGAGUUAUAGCCUCUCUUACUUCUGGUGUCUGCCCCCCUUGUAGCUGAAGUCAGUGUGGGGGCUUGCUGUACACUUCCUGAUUGGGGGGGGGCUGAUGCCUGCCCACUGGUAGGUGGAGCUGAUUCUAGUCCCUCUGGUGGGUGGGGCUUAGUCUCUGGAUGGGAUUAGAGGCAGCUGUGUGCCUGAGGGGUCUUUAGGUAGCCUGUUUACUGAGGGGUGGGGCUGUGAUUCCCCCCCUGGGUUGUUGUUUGGCCUGGGGCUUCUCAGCACUGACUGAUGGGGGUGGGGCCAGAUUUUCCCAAAAUGGCCACCUCCAGAGAGAAGCAGCUGCUGAAUAUUCCCGAGAGCUUUGCUUUCAGUGUGCUUCCCUCACAACAAGCCACAUUCACCCCUGUUUUCCCAGGAUGUCCUCCAAGAACUGCAGUCAGGUUUGACCCAGGUUUCUUUGGAGACCUCGCUCUGCCCUGGAAUCCAGCGCACAUGAAUGUCCGUAUGCGCCUUUUAAGAAUGGGGUCUCCAUUUCCCCCAGUCCUAUGGAGCUCCUGUGCACAAGCCCCACUGGUCUUUAAUGCCAGAUGCUCCAGGGGCUCUUUCACCCAGUGCCAGAUCCCCACAUGUGAGGGUUUGAUGUGGGGCUCAGAACUCUCACUCCUGUAAGUGAGUCUCUGUAAACCAGUUAGUUUUCAGCCUGUGGAGCCUGGAGGUAUGGGGUUGUUUAUAUUGCACAAUUGCCCCUCCUACCUCUUGAUGUGGCCUCCUCUUUGUCCUCUGGAGUAGGGUAUCUUUUUUAAGGUUUCUGGUCCAUUUGAGUGGAGAUUGCUUAGGCUUUAGUUUUGAAUUUUGUUGUUUUUAGGAGCGAAGUUAAGCUCCAGUCCUUCUAUUCUGCCAUCUUAAUCCUCUCUCCUCAAAAUGUUUUUUUAAAAAGCUUAACAAUGGUUAGUUGGAAAACUAAUUUUCAUCUUCCCUAAAAAUUUUAUCCAAAAGAGAACAUAGUAAAAUUUAGAUAAAUAUGAAGCAAGGAACAUGCUUUUAUACAGGGAAAAUUAUAUUAUGAAAUAUGUAGAAACUGAUUCUAUUGUUUUAUUAAAGAUAAUUUAACUGUUUAGAAAACCGCAACAUAUUUAUUUUCAACUGGUCAAGGUCCUUUUUAAAUUUUAUUUUAUCUAUUGUAGUAGCUUUGUAUCUUUGAAUUUAUUCAAAGAUGGCACCUGUUGGCUGAUGUCAGAAGAAAUAGCAGGUGUGUUAAUCUUAUCCAGUGGCCAUCUGAUCUGAAUCUUUUUCUAUAUUACAUUCCCCAAAUGGUUAAAGGCAGAGAGAAAAAUAGUUACAUCACCGAGUCAGUAGGUAAUGAGGUAAGAAAAACAGGUGUGAAUUUUAUUCACUGUUUUAGAGUUCCCCAAAUAUGGAAUUUUUAUCCUAUUUCUAAGGUUAUAGAAGAAGAAACCAGUAACUUGAUAAUUCUCCCUUUUACUUGAUAAUUCUCUUUGGGAGUGGCUUUCUUUCUGUCUGAAACUAGACAUGUCAGUACGUGCCAGUUAGACCCUUUUCUAGGAGUACGCAGACUGUGUGGACCGUGUAGAAGACAGCCAGUUGAUCACUGAGUACUGUGUGCCAUAUACUGCUAGGAAAGAACUACAAGAGGGUCUAAGAAAUUUAGAAACUUUAUGUCUCAGAGGAAACAUUUAAGUUCAAGAGAUACACAGUGACACAAACAGAAAUAUGUCACAGGGCAGCAUAGGACAGUCCCAAAGGCAGUGAUUUCUAUAUGUUGAAGAGAAGGAUACUACAUGUUGUGAUUUGUGUUUAUCACUUUAUAUUUUACCUCAUAAGAUUUAGUCUUGGGGAUUUUUUUUUUUUAAGCUAGUCAAGAUUCUUUUGAAUCUUUAUGUUACUUUAUUUUACCUGUUGUAUUACCUUUUGUCUUUGUAUUCUUGUGAUGGAUGGGACCAAAUGGCCAAAGUCUUUGAUUGUCAGUUUACAGAGCUUGAUUUUUAUUAAAUAGACAGUGGUCAGAUAGCAAAAGUUUUUGAGUAGAUGAGUGCCAUGUCAUAUAUUGUUAAGGAAAGUUGGCAUGUUAAUAACAUGUAGGGUAAAUUGGGGGAUGUAAUACACGAGUUGAUUGUAAUAGUUCAAGUACAGAGUGCUCAGGAAGGAUGUUAGAAUAGACAGGAGUGUGUACUUUGUCUCAUUCACUGCCAUAUGCCUCAUGUAUAGCAUAGGAUCUGGUAUUUAUUAAGUGCUGAGUGACUAUAUAUUGAUUCAAUAAAUGAAUUAAUGAAAAAUUGUAAAUAUAGCCUAUGUGACAGAAGGAAAGGAAGGAGUUAAACACUGUAAUAGUUCAAGCUUGAUUGAACUAUUACAGAAAUAGGGAAUUGAGCAGGGAGAGAAGAUUUUGAGGAACAAUCAAGAAAGUUAUUUUAUUCAUGUAGAAUUUAAAACAACAAUGCUCCCAAGUAAGACACUCAGUAAGCAUUUGGGUGGGGCUAAUAUAUGGGAGAGGAGUUGAUUACUAGGGAUUUUACUCUGAGAACAAUUUGUAGUAGAAAUAGUAGAUAUAGUAGGGGUCAUGAUUCUCACAGAAGGGAGUAUGUAGGUAAAAGAGUAGAAGACCCAAGAGAGGGGCAAAUUAAUCUAACAGAGAAAAGAUAGUACGUGUUGAAUACUUUCUGUGCUAGGCACUAGGUCAAGAGCUUUGUAUGCAUUAUCUCUUUUAAUACAACUCUCCCCCCCUCCCCUUCACCUCAGGUUUAGGUAUUACCUAGGAAAAUGGAAAUUCAGAUAAGUUAAGCAGUUCAUUCAGGUCCUUUCCCCAAAAGGUAUUAGAGCUAGAAUAUGAACCUUGAUCUGUAUCCCUGGUUUUUCAACUCUGCUAAAAUUACUCUCUGUUCAUAAAUUUUGUCCAUGCUUUUCACUAAAUCUUUAACGUACUUAUAGCAGUUAUGUUUAAAGUCCUUGUCUAUUGAGUUCUGUAUUUGGUUGGGAGUUCCCACUGUGGCUAAGCAGGUUACAAACCUGACUAGUAUCCAUGAGAAUGCAGGUUUGAUCCUUGUCCUCACUCAGUGAGUUAGGGAUCCAGAGUUGCUGAGCUAUGGUGUAGGUCGCAGCUUGGCUGGGAACCCCUGUGGCUGUGGCUGUGGCAUACAUAGGCUAGCAGAUGCAGCUCCAAUUUUACCCCUAACUUGGGAACUUCCAUAUGCUGCAGGGGCAGCAGAAAAAAAAAAAAAGAAAGAAAGAAAAAAAAA